GACUCGCUUGAACCUGGGGAGGUGGAGUUGCAGUGAGCUGAGAUUGAGCCACUGCACUCUAGCCUGGCGACAGAGUGAGACUCGGUCUCAAAAAAGAAAAAAAAGGCGGGGCGGCGGGGGAUUAAAACACAAAUAAGAGUUUGCCACUAGCAAAAAAGGAAGAGAUAGGUCUUGUAAAGCCAUGUUGAAAUUGGAUGCUGGGUGAACGGCUAGGUUUCCUUACCAGCCAAGUGUCUUAGUCAGUUUGUGCUGCUAUAAAGGGUGAGGGUGAGUAAUUUAUAAAGGAAAGAGGUUUAUCUGGCUCACAUUCUGCAGGCUGUACAAGAAACAUGGUGCCAGCAUCUCCUGGUGAGAAAGUCAGAUUGCUUCUACUCAUGGUGGAGAGGGAAGGAAAGAAGUGCGGGCAGAAAUCACACGGCAGGGAAGAAACAAGAGAGAGGGAAGGAGGUGCCAGACUUUUUUCAACAACCACUUCUUGUCGCUCCUACAAGAAUCUCACCAAGUCAUUGAUGAGGGAUCCACCCCAUGACCCAAACACCCCCAAGCAUCCCCCACCACCAACACUGGAGAUCAAAUUUCAACAUGAGACUUGACAGAGCCAAACAGACCAUGUUUAAAGCAUAGCACCAAGAAAGCAGUUUAUUCUCACUUGCCUAGAGUAGGAGUGAUUCAAGUUAAAAAUGCAUUUGUGGCCCUGGAACACUUCAAGUGUAUUAAAUGCCAAGUGUAUGUGGUAAUUAACGUAAAAUAUAAUGUAAUGUAACUUACUUAUACUUAUUAAUUGACUUCUGUUUCUCCUCACUAUAAAUUGUCAGCAUGCAGUUUUACUUCAAAUAAUAAUCCUUCUAAGUAUACCCAAUAAAAAAUAAUACCCAGAUGACUCACAUGAAAACAAAAAUUUAUUCAAAUUACCUCAAAUUUUAGAAAAUAAACUAAGAUUGACAUAGUCACCCAUUGCUCUUGUAAUUAUGAGGUUGACACCAAAUACACAUUAAUCAAUCAAAUAAAGAGUCUCAAUAGUCCGAGAUUCACGUGACCAACUGAACCAACCUUGUACAAAAUCAUUCAUUUUUUUUCUUUUGCCAAACGUAACAUAUACACAAUCUAUUUUGCUAUCGUUUAAUUUUAUAAGAAGAAAGUAAGGUCCAAAUUAGAGGCUUCUUUUGGUUAAUUUUUCCACAAACAUGUCUUACAGUAAAGGGCAUUUUCCCUUUAUCUUUUAGCUAUAUUUCUCCAGAUGAUCAAAUUAGUUGUGAAAAAGUAUUGGUUGUUUGGAGUGAAAAUGAUGAGCACCGGAAACACAUUAUCCUAAAAGAGAGAAAUGUUUAAUAUUUACAUUUCAUAGCAAGAAAUAUUGUACCUGGCUAAAAUAAACUGAGAAGUAGUUUACCAAUAAUGGUCUAUUGUCAUACUAAUAGAGAUAGGUCUUGUAAAGCCAUGUUGAAAUUGGAUGCUGGGUGAACGGCUAGGUUUCCUUACCAGCCAAGUGUCUUAGUCAGUUUGUGCUGCUAUAAAGGGUGAGGGUGAGUAAUUUAUAAAGGAAAGAGGUUUAUCUGGCUCACAUUCUGCAGGCUGUACAAGAAACAUGGUGCCAGCAUCUCCUGGUGAGAAAGUCAGAUUGCUUCUACUCAUGGUGGAGAGGGAAGGAAAGAAGUGCGGGCAGAAAUCACACGGCAGGGAAGAAACAAGAGAGAGGGAAGGAGGUGCCAGACUUUUUUCAACAACCACUUCUUGUCGCUCCUACAAGAAUCUCACCAAGUCAUUGAUGAGGGAUCCACCCCAUGACCCAAACACCCCCAAGCAUCCCCCACCACCAACACUGGAGAUCAAAUUUCAACAUGAGACUUGACAGAGCCAAACAGACCAUGUUUAAAGCAUAGCACCAAGAAAGCAGUUUAUUCUCACUUGCCUAGAGUAGGAGUGAUUCAAGUUAAAAAUGCAUUUGUGGCCCUG
This 1953-nucleotide long non-coding RNA is filed under the name Homo sapiens (human). Its description in RNAcentral is "non-protein coding lnc-TLL1-3:2". Lineage: Eukaryota; Metazoa; Chordata; Mammalia; Primates; Hominidae. The record is from RNAcentral.